ACGGGGGGUGCGAGCGUUGUCCGGAAUUAUUGGGCGUAAAGCGCGCGCAGGCGGUUUGGUAAGUCAGAUGUGAAAGGCAUGAGCUCAACUCUUGAAAGCCAUUGGAAACUGUGUGACUUGAGUGCGGGAGAGGAAAGCGGAAUUCCUGGUGUAGCGGUGAAAUGCGUAGAUAUUAGGAGGAACACCAGUGGCGAAGGCGGCUUUCUGGACUGUAACUGACGCUGAGGCGCGAAAGCGUGGGGAGCAAACAG
Molecule: ribosomal RNA, 251 nt
Filed under: uncultured prokaryote
Description: partial 16S rRNA
Rfam family: Bacterial small subunit ribosomal RNA
Source: RNAcentral